RNAcentral lists this ribosomal RNA (497 nucleotides) under uncultured bacterium. RNAcentral describes it as "partial 16S ribosomal RNA". It matches the Rfam family "Bacterial small subunit ribosomal RNA", at positions 28 to 507 of the family's 1533-position model. The record is from RNAcentral.
GAUGAACGCUGGCGGCGUGCCUAAUACAUGCAAGUCGAGCGAACAGACGAGGAGCUUGCUGCUCUGACGUUAGCGGCGGGCGGGUGAGUAACACGUGUAUCACCUCCCUAUCAGACUGGGAUAACUUCGGGAAACCGGAGCUAAUACCGGAUAAUAUUUUGAACCGCAGGGUUCAAUAGUGAAAUACGGUCUUGCUGUCACUUCUCGAUGGAUCCGGGCUGCAUUAGCUAGUUGGUAAGGUAACGGCUUACCAAGGCAACGAUGCAUAGCCGAACUGAGAGGGUGGUCGGCCACCAUGGAAGUUGGACACCGUCCAGAGUCCUGAGGGAGGGAGCAGUAGGGAAUGUUACGCAAUGGGGGGAAGCCUGACGGAGCGACCGCGCGUGAGUGGUGGAAGCGUUGCGAGCGUGAAAACGUGUUAUUAGGGAAAAACCGAUGUGGAAGGUAACGAGGCGAGCGUGACGGUAACUAAUCAGAAAGCAACGGCUAACUACGUG